UGAAGCUUCGGCAGAUUUAGCUGGUUUCUAGUGGCGGACGGGUGAGUAACGCGUGGGUAACCUGCCUUAUACAGGGGGAUAACAGUCAGAAAUGACUGCUAAUACCGCAUAAGCGCACAGGACCGCAUGGUCCGGUGUGAAAAACUCCGGUGGUAUAAGAUGGACCCGCGUUGGAUUAGCUUGUUGGUGGGGUAACGGCUCACCAAGGCGACGAUCCAUAGCCGGCCUGAGAGGGUGAACGGCCACAUUGGGACUGAGACACGGCCCAGACUCCUACGGGAGGCAGCAGUGGGGAAUAUUGCACAAUGGGGGAAACCCUGAUGCAGCGACGCCGCGUGAAGGAAGAGGUAUCUCGGUAUGUAAACUUCUAUCAGCAGGGAAGAUAGUGACGGUACCUGACUAAGAAGCCCCGGCUAACUACGUGCCAGCAGCCGCGGUAAUACGUAGGGGGCAAGCGUUAUCCGGAUUUACUGGGUGUAAAGGGAGCGUAGACGGACUGGCAAGUCUGAUGUGAAAGGCGGGGGCUCAACCCCUGGACUGCAUUGGAAACUGUUAGUCUUGAGUGCCGGAGAGGUAAGCGGAAUUCCUAGUGUAGCGGUGAAAUGCGUAGAUAUUAGGAGGAACACCAGUGGC
RNAcentral lists this ribosomal RNA (633 nucleotides) under uncultured Lachnospiraceae bacterium. Its description in RNAcentral is "bacterial SSU rRNA". It matches the Rfam family "Bacterial small subunit ribosomal RNA", at positions 68 to 716 of the family's 1533-position model. The record is from RNAcentral. Lineage: Bacteria; Bacillati; Bacillota; Clostridia; Lachnospirales; Lachnospiraceae.